RNAcentral lists this long non-coding RNA (4257 nucleotides) under Canis lupus familiaris (dog). RNAcentral describes it as "lncRNA (ENSCAFG00845008550.1)". Lineage: Eukaryota; Metazoa; Chordata; Mammalia; Carnivora; Canidae. The record is from RNAcentral.
ACUUAUCCAUAUGCACACAAAGAAGCAAUACCAAAUUUAACACCUAUUUCAAUGACUUCCUGAUCCCCAACCAAGGUUCUGUAGUUCAUUUUCUUCUGAAGAGAGACCCUUUAGCCACUUCAUUAAUCAAAACCACUAAUUAUACUUUUAUUACAAUGUUUCAAAACAACAAAUACAUAAUCAUCUAUAUGACUCACUUUGACCUGCUUCCUACUUUUCAUAGAAUAAAAAUGGGGGACCUCUAAAAUGGGGGACCUCUAAAAAUGUUAUUUUCAACCUGAAAUCACAACUCAGUGGAAGGACUUCCUAAGUGUCCUCUUUAUGAUAUUAGCAUACAUUGAAGUUUCUUUUAAAUUUUUUCAAUGCAAUGUGCCUGAAGGACCAAAAAGGGACUUUCCCUUGGUCUAAGAUUCCCAGAACAGUUAAGCCCUUUGGCAUUUCUACUAAACAAAAGCUAAUUUUUGCUGUUUUGUCAUCAUGUGCUUGUUUUGCUCCUGUAUUGUUGCUGGUUUCACUACUAAAAACCAGCCUUAUGUAUUCUUGAAGAUUUCACAAUAUUUGUACUGUGUCAUAUUCCUCAAGUCCCUGACUGUUGGAACAAGAUGCUUCCUAUGGAAAUCUCACUCCUAAUCUAAAUGCUCACUUUGGUACAAGAGUUGGUUUGUCAUCUUGAAAAAAUGUAUGUAGCUUAGGCUUCAUAGAUGCUCUUGAGAGUGUAUUCCUCUCCAAACAGGAAAAAGAAACUUGGGUAUUUGGCAGUGCUUAUGAGGACGCGGCUGGUGGCACUAUUCUCUCCAAGCAACUAUUGAAUGGAUGCCCCAGGAUAAAAUUAGGAGUGCAGUGCUUGGCGCUGUGAAUCAUAUGAAACAAAAUAACCAAAACCCUAUGCUUCCAACCAAUUUAUAAAUCCACAGAUCCUUUGGAGGAGAGCAGUACCAUUUACCUCCUGUUACUUCAAUUUGGCAAAAGUAGCUCUCUCUUUGCUGGAUUUUCUAUUCUGUUGUAUUGUAUAGUAACAAUAAAUAGCUAGAAUUAUAAUGGUACCUGUUUCUAAAGACCCUAAUGGAAUUUACGAUUUUUUUCCUGUUUAAAAAAAUCUUUUCUCCAAUGUCAUACAUCUUCCACAGAGCACUGUGAUUUUAAGUUUAGUCACGUGGAAACUUGUCACAAAAAGAAAAACUAGUGAAGUUUCUAAUUAAUCCUAAUUAUAACACCUAAAAUUGAUUGUUUUUUAUAUAUCAGCACUUACAUACAUGAUCAUUAAUCCCAAAGCUCUGCAAGGAGGCUAUUAGCUGCUUAUACUUCUUAGGGAAUGGAGACUCAGAGAGAAUAAGUAAUUUGGCCAGUCAUUCUAUUCUCUAGUGGUAGAGACAGAACUCAAACCAAAGACCUUUUUACUCCAAAGUUCAUAAAUUUUCUAUUACUACUUAUAGCUCCACCCCACACCCCAAUGUGGUAAUAAAUAUUGCUUAACUAUCUUUAUAGAUUAAAAAAAAAAAAGCCCUGUUGUACAUAGCAUUUGCUUGUUUCUCUGUUGUAAAUACAUCCCCCAUGGUCAAUUUCAAGCUACUGAAGAACAUGGAGUCGGAAAUAAAUGUUAGUCAAUUGGCUGUUGGGGUCUUUGUUGUUAAGUGACUCCAGCACAAACUGGAUCACAAGUUAAACAUUUUCCUUCCAUAUUUAUGAUGUAAUUUUGUGUUUCUUUGCUGUAGAGCUUUCAACUCUGGUAACCAGGAAUGCAUUCCACUGAUCCAUUGAAAUUAACACUUCCAGGAAUACUACCGAAUUAUAGAGUUGUUUCUGCUUUAUAAGAAAGGCAAUCAUAUAUAUGAGAAGGCAUACCAGAAAAGGAAUGAGAACUGAUAUUCAGUUGAAGUUCCAAAUCUGCCACUUGCAGACUGGAAUAGGAAAGGUACUGGAAAACAUUUAUCUCUUCAAACCUUGGCUCUCUCAUCAUGCAAAGGUAAACAGUAAUCCCUGUCUUGACUGCCUUCAAGGUGAGUAACAUGAAAGAUAAUUCAUCCUGAAAUAUUUUAUAACUAAUAACAUGAAAAACAAUAUAGAAUAUAUUCUAUAUAUGGAAUAUAAUUGAUAUUUAUCAUAUUCUCUAGUCCUUUGGGUUAGUCUGUCACACAUUCAUAUCCUUUUACAUAACAAUGAUUUAGUUUCAUCUACAUAAUAUUGAGAGUAUAUCUCACAUGAUACGGACUCUGCAGACCUUAAGAAUAAAAUAGAAGUGACUACUUUUUUUUACUCCUCUAGUUUUUUUUUUUAACUCCUCUAGGCCAAUACUUGCAACAUAAUGUAACUACAAGUGCUGUUAAUGUACCUUCUAACAUUGUGCCUAUUAAUUCCACCAGAAUUGAACAAGCAUUUUUAUUACCAAAUUGGAACAGAAACAGGGCAUUAACAGUGGGAACACCAUGAAAUGACAAGAAGAAUGAGCACAAAAACAUGCUCUCCUCUUUUUUGCAUUUUUAUUUAACUUACAUGCUGGUUUUGUUUUUGGCCCCUUAAUAUACACUAAGCAUAUCCAUAAAGAAGAAGAGGUAGCUGAAAUCAAAAGCAUCUUGUGUAUUUGCAAUCUAUCUUCACUCUCAGAUUCAGAUUAUUUCCACUAUAUUAAGGAGUUUAUUUAUCAGUAUAAUCUUUGCUCAUCAGAAACGUGUUGUGCGUAUUUGUGUGUAUGUGUGUAGGCUGCCAAUUCCCAUUUAGCCAUUUAGAUUUGGCAGCUUGAUUUUGUUCUAUCAUUGCAAGUUUAGACCCCCUUCAUCUCUUCACAAAAUGGCUUUCGUUGUUCUGCUUUGCCCUGUGAACAUUGUUCGACUUCUAUCUAUCUAACAAAGAAUGGAGAUAAGAUAUCUGUCCUGACUAUAGCCAGGCUGGAGAUGGUAACCCAAUGGGAAGACCACCAGACUAUUAGAAGGCAGCAAGAUUGGUGAGGCUUGUCUUCAACAGAGUACAAACAAAAAGACUCACUUUGUGAUACUCAAUUGCAAGUCUAAGAAUGUGAGCACCUGAAAAAUGUCAUGCUGUGAACAUUAGCCCCUUGGUUUCUGACACUAUAUUAUGCCAGCUUCCCUACUGGAAUUUAAUUUUCUCUUCCACACACCAAUUCCAAGCUCUCUGACCAUUUGUCAGUUAUGAAUAGUUCUAGUGGAGUUGCUCCCAGGAUUUCUCUUAAGAAUCAUGUUUUCCAUUUUUUCACAAAUUCACAUGCAGAUAUUCAGAUUUAUAGUAUUCAAAUGUAGCAAGUGAAUAGGUGAGUAGGUGACUGGAUUAGCACUCAAUCUAAUCAUCCACUGAGACUCAGCCUUUGCAGUAAAAGAAGAUCUUGAUUUCCUAAUUAAAUUUCUUUUAAAAAUAGUGGUAUUUCCAAUAGAUAAUGACUUUUGUUCUCUGUUUCAGAGAGAGAGAGAGGUAAACAAAAAGUGAUAAUCAAGAAUCAGAAGCCAUACUCCUUGAUAGUAUGACUCUGUUGAGAAAUUAACAAGCUGAGAUGUUUCAGUAUCUUGUUGGUUUCAAUUUUUUUUCUUAUUUUGAAAUAAUAAAUAUCUACAAAACUAUAUGGUUUAUAAAGGAAGAAAUACUAUGUAGUCAGUGUUCAGCAUACUUAUAUUACAAUUAUCUAGCAUAUAAUAGACACAUAGUAUAUGGUGCACUAGGAUACUGUAUUAAUUUGCUAGGGCUGCCAUAACAAAAUACCAUGGACUUAGUGACUUAAAUAGCAAAAGUUUAUUUUCACUUAGGCCUGGAGAUUAGAAGUUCAAGAUGAAGGUAUUGGCAGGUUUGGUUUCUCCUAAGGCCUCUCUCUUCAGCUUGUAGACAGUCACCUUCUCACAGUCUCUUUACAUCAUCUUUUCUCUGUGCACAUGCAAACUAGUGUCUGUUCCUCUUCUAAUAAGGACAUCAGUCCUACCAAAUUAUGUCCCCACCCGUGUGACCUCAUUUAACCUUAAUUACUUCUUUAAAGGCCCUCUCUCCAAUAAUAUCUACAUUGGGUGUUAGGGUAAACCAGUGAAUUUGGGGGGAAACACAAUUCAGUUCUUUUAACAGGUACUUUCUCAAAAUAUGUCCCCUAGACAUUUGAUUAUUGUUCAUAUUCAGAUUUUCAGACUUGAAUCAAGCCAUUUUUAAUUAAAAUGGUUUGUGUGAAGCUUGAAAAUAAGAAAUAUUAAUAGCAAUAAAAUGUGGUGAUUUUGCUCAAUAAAAGUGGAAAUAUCUGUUAUAGGAGUAAUAUAUGGGCCAAUUAGAUCC